Molecule: unclassified non-coding RNA, 4002 nt
Organism: Stegodyphus dumicola
Lineage: Eukaryota; Metazoa; Arthropoda; Arachnida; Araneae; Eresidae
Source: RefSeq, a predicted model, not a curated record
CCAACUCUUUAUGGCCUGCAAGUAAUAUGGAAAUUAACAGCACAAAUCAUCAUUCUCUGUUGUCUUCAACCUUUGAACCCUAUGCAGAAUCUUCAUCUUUGUUCCCUAAUAUUACACUAACAGAGGAGCUGAUCCUGAUAUUUUUGCCAGUACACGGUUCAAUUUGGGUUACUUUUGUGUUUAUAACUGCAGCUUUAUCAUUACUGGCGAUAGCACUCCUUGGUCAUUUGUUGGGAUUUCAUAUAUUUUUAAUGUGCCAAAACUUCUCUACUUAUGACUAUAUAGUUCAGAAGCGUGAUGCUCCUUCAAAUACAACAAAUAGGACUGAAAAGAAAAAGCCAACACCUAGCUUUGACUGUAGCUUUCUCUUUUUAAAACAAAUCAAAGCUAAAAAGGUUAAUCAAAUAUCCCCAAAAUCUCAAGAAAGUGAGGCAAAAGCUGAGGAAGUAGAGGAAUGGGAAAUGCAAGCUAAUGUUCAGCAUAAUAGACCCAAUGGAAACAAGCCGACAUUACCUGUAGUCACAGAAAAUAAAUGUGCAGCAGCUAAUGAAGAUGAGUGUCCUUUGGAAAGCUAUGUUGGAAAUGUAUAUAUAGGUAGUCCACACCGCAGACGACAUUAUUUAGAGCCUCUAAAUGUACGACAGAAGUUACCAAGUGCUAAAACAAAAGAAAAGAAAAAAGAGGAGAAUCCAAAGAAAGAAACUGUAUUUCAUCAAAAUGAAGAUAAAGAUAUCGAAAGCAUUAAUGAGGGUGAUGACCAGGAGUCAAAUUCAGUGACAUCCCAGAGUCAUUCAUAUAGCCAUGGCCUGGGAAGACGGCAUCACAGAAGUCCAUCACCUGCACCAUUGCUUUCACCAAUAUUUGAGUCUGAAAUCUCAUCUGGAUCUGCAAUAGUCAGUUGGAAACAUAGAUCUGUUUCUGAGCAGUCACUGCACACUUUAGAUGAAAGUGAAGAGGAUCAACCUGCAACAUCUACAACUUGCACAGUACAGAUAGAACCGAAUACUGGUAAUGGUCUGGGUAACCGUGAGGACAGUGGAAGUCUGAGUAAUUUAUUCUUGUCAAAAGAUCAGUCAGAAGAAGUUGAAGAGGAUAAUAAUAAUGUUAUAAUUGAUGAUGAUAAUAGGGUGCAUGAAGUCUGUAUAAUACCAAAUUCAUCUCCAGAUGGUUGUGAAAGUAAUUACAAUGCUUCAGACUCUCAAGAGAUUGAGAGUACUGAUCGAAGUGAUCCAUUAAUUAAUGGAGAACUGUGGGCAUAUGCCCCCCGAAAUGGUUGUCAGAUUAAAGAUGGUAUUGUCUCUUUUCGUAGAAGCUGCAGCAUGCAAGAUAAUGAAAAGAUCAAACACAUUUCUCAUGAUCCACUAACUCGGUGUUGCUCAGAAGAUGAGUUGAAGUCAAUGCAGAGGAUGACUAAACUUCAACGCAGGCUUUCUGAAGAUCAUGAUUUAUGGAUGCUUAAAGGUUGCAAUAAUGUUCCAAAGACCUGGAGAGAACACUCUCCAAAGGCUGGCGUGUCAGCCACAGCAGUAUUUUGUGUCGAAGAACCUGAAGAAUCUUUCAGAAUACCGGGUAUACCAUUUGGAUUAAAAAGAAAAUACAACCACUUCUCUGUACCAAACCAUAUUGUUCUACCCUGUUCCAAUUCCAUACAUCCGGAAAGUCGGAAGAGGACCAGACCAGUGGGUUCAAAGCCACCUAAAGCAUUCCAUGCCUAGUGCCCAUACCAUUAACACUAUAUAUAGUGUUCAGAACACUAUAUAUGGUAGCACAUUCUAGCAAUUUCUUAUGCAAGCUUUAAGCUUGCAUUUUCAAUGACUGAAUUCCUGUGUAUCUUUCAUUACAAAUGAUACAUGAGAAAAUCUGUAACAGAAAUGGCAUUAUUAUUUUAUCUCAUACUCAGUGUAUAUUUCUAUAUAACAUGGUAUCUAUAUAAUGUUCUCUUUUAGCUUAUUAAAGAAUUUAAAUGCAAUGGAACCUUAGAUCAUGAACAAUUCAGUUCACGAAUAAAUUAUUUGAACAAACAGACAUCAGAUGACAAAUGAUGUCUUGACAAACUCUCAAAUUGACAGCUUAAGAUUUUCAAAGAUAUUUUAAGGUAACCUGUGCUACAUAAUUAACACUGGAAAAAAAACAUUUUAAUAUUUUCUAUUUCGUAGUUCUCAUUAGCUAAGCCUGGCCAAUAAGUGACUUGGAUUGACUUUGGCCUGGAAGAAAUUAUAGCCAGAUUGAGCUGCAGACAAAAACUUUGAUGCUUAGGUUCCUCCCUCAAUUUUCUCCGCUUGUGUCUAGAACAAUAGAUUCGAAAAUCAACAAAAAAGAUGUGGAAAAGUUACUAAGGGCCAUAAAAAUUAGCUCAAUAAGGAAAAAUUACAAUAAUUUUGGAAGCAGCAACAAAGGCAAUUGUGAAAGUAAUGCCUUCAUUUUCAGAACAAGGGGAAGAAAGGAAAAUGCCCUUAAUUCUUUGAUCUGCAAAAUUUAUGCAUAAUAGGGUAAAAUGCAGUGUUUUCCGUAGUAAUAUCUCCUUAGUAAAGCAGUAGUAAGCUGCAACUUAACCAUUUUCAGUGGCAGUGCCAUGUUUCACUUUAGGAACACUUUAAAAUGUAGGAAAAAAAUUACAUUGGACAGAUCUUAAGUGAAACAGGCCCAGUGAAAUUCAAACAGCCGAGUAGUGCUUAGAUACAAAGGAAAGAUGAAAGGAAGUAACUCCUUAAGAGUUAUCUGACAUUUUUAUGGUAGAAAAUUUCACAUCAAAACAAUAUCAACAUCAUUUUCCACUUACCCAGUCUUCUUUGUAAAGUAAUUUUUUUUUUCUUUUUUUUAAUGAAAUACAUUCAAUGAUUUCUAUCCAUUUUGAGUUACGAACUUGCACAAAGUGCUGUUGUAAAAUUUAAAGGAACGGUUAUCUGUGAUCCAGGAACAAAUUAAUUCCUGUGGGGAGUAUUCUUUCACGUGACAAAAAGCCUUCAGGAACAAGUUUAGUUUAUAAACUGAGGUUUGAACAUACAUUACUUUCUUUUAUUUGAGUUAUAAAAAAACAAUGAAUAUAUAAUAAAAGAAUAUAAGGUUUCAAAAUGUAAGACUAAUACAUAAGUUAUUCUUUUAUUAUUUUAUUUGUAUAAGUAUUUUAAGUACAUAUAUAUGCAUGUAUUCAUAAUAUGGAUAUGUAUAUGACUAUAAUAAUUAUAACAGUAUAUCUGCUAUUUAUAACUAGGUUUGUAUUUAGAUAGUAACUACUUAAUAAGUGUAACUACACAAUAAAUCAUUAUGUAUCUUAUUUUUCUUGGUAAUAAUGUAAUGUGUAUGGUAUAUUUUUGUUGUAUAAUAUAUUUAUGCCUUUUAUUGUAUAGAAUUUGUUGUAUUUAACAUUUUCCAGUCUCACACAUUCACAUAACUGUCAGUUAUAGAAUAUUCAAUUGCUCAUGAUAUCAAAGAUAUCUUUGAGAACUGUAAUUUUUUUAUUAUCGUAUACAUUGAAAUAAUCUCUUUAAAUACAAUUACGCACAGAAAAAAUAAAUAUUUGUUUGCAUUGUAUGUAUUGAAAAAUAUAUGAAUUUUUAAAAUUCAUUUUAAUACCUUAAAUGAAGUUAAAUUUUUGUCUUGAGAUAUUAAUAUUUUUAGCAUAAGUUAUAUUUUAACUCUAGGAAUGGUAUUAAAUACUAAAAAGUAGGUACGGAUUUUUAAUAUGACUCUGAAAAGGAACUAAGUUUUUUCAUUAUUCUUUUGUAAUGGUCCAUAUCUCCACAAAAAUUUGGAAUUAACCUGAUACAUUUUAAUACCAUAUAAAAUGUUAAUUCAUCACACUACUUUAUUUCUCCCUUCAUUGAAAUCUUAAUGCUAACAUACUAUCCCCAUUCUGAACAUUUUAUUUCUCUGUCAAAUAAUCAGAAAUAUAUGAUCAAUUAUAUUUAUCUUAAAUUUCAGAAACUGUUGAUAUUUUUAUUUUUAGAAUCCUGAAUUUAUUUACAUUCAAAAAACCAUCUUUAACUAUUAUUUAUAGAUAUU